RNAcentral lists this microRNA (21 nucleotides) under Physcomitrium patens. RNAcentral's name for it is "ppt-miR11323". Lineage: Eukaryota; Viridiplantae; Streptophyta; Bryopsida; Funariales; Funariaceae. The record is from miRBase by way of RNAcentral.
UUUGCAUUGCACACUAUAAUG